Tachysurus fulvidraco (yellow catfish) is the source of this 825-nucleotide long non-coding RNA. RefSeq lists it as uncharacterized. The transcript has 4 exons. The record is from RefSeq and is a predicted model, not a curated record. Lineage: Eukaryota; Metazoa; Chordata; Actinopteri; Siluriformes; Bagridae.
GAGCAGGUUCAUCCAUUUUCUUCACAGCACUGAUGGACAGGAGUGGACAUCAGUGGACUUCUUUUCAGAACUCUGUGUAUGUGUCUGUGUACAUCAGAGUCCUGUCAGUCAAACAACAAUUCUCAGUGAACUAACACAAGUUUCACAGGAAACAACUGAGGAAAUACAUCACCAACUGACUUCACAAGAGCUGGAGGCAGCACUGCAAGAAAUGAUGAAUGGAAAGUCUCCAGGCAUCGAUGGUCUUCUAGCGGAGUUUUAUAAGGCAUUCUGGUCCAUUCUAGGAGAGGAUCUUCUAACUGUGAUCAAUGACAGCAUGACCAGCGGGACAUUCCCUGUAAGCUGCAGGAGGGCGGUGCUGACUCUUCUACCAAAAAAGGGGAUCUGUGCAAUGGAACUGGAGACCAAAACAGCAGACAACAGUCACCAUCACAAUCACAAACAGUGCAAAAGAUCCUCCAGCAGCUAAGAUGUUGUCCAUAAACCAACGGUCAAAGCUAAACAACGUAUCACUUGAAUUUUUCGCAUUGGACUUUAAACCUGGUGAAAGAUAGAUCUUUACUGUCUUCAACAUCACAUAUGAAGUCAAUCUUCCCAUCAUGACAUGUAACAUUCAAUCUUGGCUUUGGGACUUUUGCUGUUAAAUAAGGACAGACAGCGUCGAUCCCACAUGGUCCUGACACAUCAACACCAUGGUGCAGAAGGAGGCCUGGCAGCAUCUUUACCAUUUCAGAUGCUUAAAAGACUUUAAACUGGUCUCCAAAGUGCUAAUGACCUUCUACACCUGCAUCAUUGAGAGCAUCCUGAUGGGAAGCAUCACAGAAU